GAGACUGCCAGGGAUAACCUGGAGGAAGGUGGGGAUGACGUCAAAUCAUCAUGCCCCUUAUGCUUAGGGCUACACACGUGCUACAAUGGGUAGUACAGAGGGUUGCCAAGCCGUAAGGCGGAGCUAAUCCCUUAAAGCUACUCUCAGUUCGGAUUGUAGGCUGAAACUCGCCUACAUGAAGCUGGAGUUACUAGUAAUCGCAGAUCAGAAUGCUGCGGUGAAUGCGUUCCCGGGUCUUGUACACACCGCCCGUCACACCACGGGAGUUGGAGACGCCCGAAGCCGAUUAUCUAACCUUUUGGAAGAAGUCGUCGAAGGUGGAAUUAAUAACUGGGGUGAAGUCGUAACAAGGUAGCCGUAUCGGAAGGUGCGGCUGGAUCACCUCCUUUCUAAGGAGA
RNAcentral lists this ribosomal RNA (398 nucleotides) under Clostridioides difficile. RNAcentral's name for it is "bacterial SSU rRNA". It matches the Rfam family "Bacterial small subunit ribosomal RNA", at positions 1145 to 1533 of the family's 1533-position model. Lineage: Bacteria; Bacillati; Bacillota; Clostridia; Peptostreptococcales; Peptostreptococcaceae. The record is from RNAcentral.